GCUACAAAGGAACAAGUAACAGGUUAAUUCCAUGCUGAAAAGAGAAGAAAGAAAACACAACGUUUCAGAUGUGGAGCCAUCUCUGGGUUUAAGAAAGACAUGGCAGAUGGGCCAUAGCAAUAGAGCAGAAAUCGCUGUCUUUUUUUCCCCAAUGCGUUCUCUCAUGCCAUGUUCAGAGGGUCAUAUUUUAAAAAUGGUACAGCAAAUGUUCUUCUGCCUCAGGAGUUUGACAAUCUGUAACAUUGUCUCUCACACCUCGGCGUCAGAAUUGGGAAAUGAUUUUAUAAUCAGGGGGGAGGGCCCACAGUAAUAAGAAGAAAGUGCAAUCACCUUUUCCCAGGGCAAGUUUUGUGUUAUUGUGAGUUUUUUAAAUUGGUGUUCGAGUUUCUGAAAUAUAUUCCAUACAUAAAUACAAUUUGAACAGUCACUAGUUAUUUGGAUAUUCCUUUUCACCGAGGACAUCUACAGUAUUCCACCCGGAUCAGUACUGACCGAGGAGCGCCAUCUACAAACGAAAGGCGACAUAACACCACAGCAGAGGCAUUGAAGGUGAAACGAAAAACGCGAAUAAGAAGCCAACUUCAGCCUCGUCUAAACUGGAGCAUCAUUAACCAGAGUUUGACACCCCUGAUAUGAGUCUAUGGUCGAUUUGCCAUGAGGGCGAGAACUGCUGCGGCCGUGACUCUUGAGUUUGAACACACAGCGAGAAAACAGGAACUGAUCACUCGUCCCACAAAGACGAUUUCCGGGUCAAGCUGCGCUUCCAUAGCGAUUGUUGCUAUGAAACAGAAAAGGGGCUACUGCGCUGUGGACUGUUAUUGCCAAAUCGCCGCCGACUUUGCUCAGUUAAAUGUAUCAAAGACAGUUGUAAAAGGGUUUCAGAAAUAAAAGAAUGUUGUAAUUUUGAA
Long non-coding RNA from Lepisosteus oculatus (spotted gar), 908 nucleotides. RefSeq lists it as uncharacterized. NCBI's taxonomy places the organism in Eukaryota, Metazoa, Chordata, Actinopteri, Semionotiformes, Lepisosteidae. The record is from RefSeq and is a predicted model, not a curated record.